RNAcentral lists this long non-coding RNA (666 nucleotides) under Nicotiana benthamiana. RNAcentral describes it as "long non-coding RNA (NBEN_LNC017338)". Lineage: Eukaryota; Viridiplantae; Streptophyta; Magnoliopsida; Solanales; Solanaceae. The record is from RNAcentral.
AAUACAAGACCAUAUACCUAUACACACUAAUCCGCCGCUGAGACCCAUCAGCGAAGAAGAUCCCUGCCAUCGCCGCUCUUUCUUCUUCACCUCACAAUAACCAACCGAAACUCAGGAAAACAACUGCAUUAAUAUCACCUCCCAAACAUUUAAACUAACCACCAUAAGCACUGUACGAAACCUUUGACCAAACACCUUCACCACCAUUAAACCAAAAGCUAAUCUAGAUGUAAGGUGUCGUUUGUUUUGAUUUGAACAAAAAAUAAUUGAGUCAGCAAGAAUUUGAAGUACCCCUCUAAGCUUUGUUCUCAAAAUAGAGUCAAAUGGAGUAUAUGUUUGAUUUGAAGGACUCAUAGUGUCCUUGAGUCAGCAAGAAUUUUGAAGUACCCCAUGUUUUACUUGAAAGACUCACGGUGUCCAACUUCUCCAUUCGAGGUUUGUUGAGUUCUGGCAAGUUUCGGAUUCUAGCUUCUGUUCGAGGUCCCGAUGCGGUUCCUAUUUGCCGAUUUCAUCUCCCGAUCGAGGUCAACUUUUUUUCAAUCAAAGUUUUGAGACAAUUAAGGUCUACUUCUACCUUUCUGCUACUAUUUUUGCUUCAUAAAAUUGUUGGAAUGAAUCCAAAUAAAACACUUUAGCCUUCAUAUCGAAUUACUUGGAACAACANNN